AAUCAACGCUGGCGGCGUGCCUAACACAUGCAAGUCGAACGAGAAAGUGGAGCAAUCCAUGAGUACAGUGGCGCACGGGUGAGUAACACGUGACUAACCUACCCUUGAGUGGGGGAUAACCUAGAGAAAUCUGGGCUAAUACCGCAUAAUACCUUCGGGUCAAAGGAGCAAUUCGCUUAAGGAGGGGGUCGCGGCCGAUUAGUUAGUUGGCGGGGUAAUGGCCCACCAAGACUAUGAUCGGUAUCCGGCCUGAGAGGGCGCACGGACACACUGGAACUGAAACACGGUCCAGACUCCUACGGGAGGCAGCAGUGGGGAAUUUUGCGCAAUGGGGGAAACCCUGACGCAGCAACGCCGCGUGGAGGAUGAAGUCCCUUGGGACGUAAACUCCUUUCGAUCGGGACGAUAAUGACGGUACCGAGAGAAGAAGCCCCGGCUAACUUCGUGCCAGCAGCCGCGGUAAUACGAGGGGGGCGAGCGUUGUUCGGAAUUAUUGGGCGUAAAGGGUGCGUAGGCGGUUUGGUAAGUCUUGUGUGAAAUCUUCGGGCUCAACUCGAAGUCUGCAUGAGAAACUGCCG
Molecule: ribosomal RNA, 578 nt
Filed under: uncultured bacterium
Lineage: Bacteria
Description: bacterial SSU rRNA
Rfam family: Bacterial small subunit ribosomal RNA
Source: RNAcentral